Molecule: long non-coding RNA, 329 nt
Filed under: Musa acuminata (dwarf banana)
Lineage: Eukaryota; Viridiplantae; Streptophyta; Magnoliopsida; Zingiberales; Musaceae
Description: long non-coding RNA (MACU_LNC002031)
Source: RNAcentral
GGCUCGAUGGAAGACAGGGUGACGUGAGGUUUUCGAAUGCAUCGGGUAGGAUAUGGAUAAAUCCGGUGGCGAGAAUGACUCCGGCAGCGAAGGCCUUGAUCACGAAGAAGAUGUCCUUGUCGGGACGGAGCGCAGGUAUCCAUUUGCCCAGGAUGGGAAUGCAUACGCCAAAACCUCCGCAGACCAGGAUAGAAAAUAUUGCCGCGAUCUUGAGCGGCAGCGCCUUCUUCUUAUCGCGGCUUUCCUCGUCAGCCGAGCAGUCACAGUCGCCGCGAGCAACGAGAGGAAGCAGCAAAACAAUGAGAAAGACGAAGCACCAAACGCCUCUC